Molecule: long non-coding RNA, 1915 nt
Organism: Peromyscus leucopus (white-footed mouse)
Lineage: Eukaryota; Metazoa; Chordata; Mammalia; Rodentia; Cricetidae
Exons: 3
Source: RefSeq, a predicted model, not a curated record
UGUGAGCUGGGCCUGGGAACCCUGUGGGAUAUACACAGCUCAGGCUGGAGCUGGCCCUUCCUGAGACCCUGCUUCACCCCAAUCCACUGUUCUUUCUCCACCAGGAGGGGACCUAUUCCAUCAUGAGUACAACUUUGCAGCCCCACCCAGACCCACCUGAGACCUUGCAGGAGGAACUCAGCCAUACUCUCACCCCAGACCAAAAUGUAAAUGACUUCUGAAAAGGAACUCUGCUGACUUUGGAUCCUGUUCCUACUGUGAUGCCCUGCCACCACAAAGGAGAUAUGAAGUUUCUAGGGAGCCAGUGCAGAUCCGCUGCAGAUCCUCUGCAGACAAUACAGAUGGAAGGUGGCAUCAAAUCUAAGGAAGAUACCAAGCACUUGGAUGGGACAGCUGACCACAUGCAAGGGUCAUGUUCCUAUCUGUGCAGCUUAUACACAGAUGGACAGAAGUCAGGCAUAGGACUCCUCCCCAGCUGUGGAUAAGGGAUUGCUAUACAGCAUCUGUAUGUGUCAGAACACAUUUCACUUCAGUGUCUCCUCAAAAUACAACAGGCUUCAAAGCAUAGCCUCUUUUUUCCUGACCAGCUGAGAGAUUGUGUGGACUGAGAGCCCAGAGGUCAUCUGGGUCUCUGUGAAGCCAUGAGAAGAUCACUGAGUGACAAGGGCCAAUAUAUGCAUACCAGGGCUUUGGAGGCCCAUUCCUAUAUGGGAAGAACAAGGCUACUAGAUUAUUCAUGGUGCCUAGAAAGUAGGACAUGAAAUAGAAAAAGCUCUGUUAAUGAACAUAGAACAAAAACCUCAAGCCCAUGCAGGCUGCUUACCUAGGACAGAGAGAAGAGCCACCAAGGUCCAUGCAGUGGUGAGGAAGGGAGCCCUCACAGAGAGCCACUGUAGACUGACCACUGAGUACCCACUGCUGUUCCAAGGAUGGAAAAGCUCUGGACUCAGGCCUGGGCCAGAAAGUGCCUGGGGGUAAGCACUACCCACCAGACAGGCCAGCAGAACAAGGGUACGUAGACUGUCCGACUUCCAUGUCCACAUGCUGGGGACUGCGCUCCACAAUGCUCAGCUUCUCAACAGGCAAUCCUGAUCUGAAAAGGCACAUACCCAGCUGCUCUAUAGCUAUCAGAGGGACCCUCCCCUUUACUGACCACAGGCCCAGCCUUGUUCUAGGCAGCUCACGUCUUCUGCCAUCUCAAGACAUCUCCCUACAAAGCAGCAGGCCACUUCCUCCAGGCAGGAGUUCAAAGCCUUUGCCCACUUCCCUGUCCUGGGAGAUAAAAGGCUACCUGUCCACAGAGAUUAGUUACUGCUGUCACAUAAAAUAACAGUGGAUGAAGAAGCAGGGUUUAAUUGGCUCUUUAUCGAGGGUUUUGGCCCCUGAUAGGAGCACCACAUGAGACAAGAGAAACUUCAGACAACACCCAAUUCAAGUCAGCAGCCUAUGGUGGCUGUAGCAAAGGUGUCCACAGAGCCCGAACUCCUCAGGUUUCUGAGACACCCCCCAGAGCAUUUGCUCUUUCCAGGCUCUUUUACUCCCCAUCCUGUUUGGGAGCCCUUAAUUCAACUGGUUCUUGGUGCCACUGACUCUCCAACUUACUUAUGGUCAGGUAGCCUUACUGUAGUGUAAGAUCUCUGCCCACGUGGUUCCUAGAGGUCUACUCUGCACAGUCGAGCCAGAGCAUACCAGGAGAGGGGACAGAAACAGCACAUGGCCUGCUGUGUGGCCCAUGAAAAAUGGAAGUAUGGUCAUCUAGAGAGCCUGAUGAGAUGGGACCUGUGCUAAGGACAGCUGGUAUCUUAAUGUCAGAGAAGUCCAAUUCACAAGAGAGACGGUGAUGUUAAACUGACUCAUACUGAAAUUGGAGAAAACCAUGUUAUACACAAAAUGAAUCAGGGUAUGUGGAAAUAAA